This 230-nucleotide ribosomal RNA is filed under the name uncultured microorganism. RNAcentral's name for it is "partial 16S ribosomal RNA". It matches the Rfam family "Bacterial small subunit ribosomal RNA", at positions 524 to 754 of the family's 1533-position model. The record is from RNAcentral.
UACGGAGGAUGCGAGCGUUAUCCGGAUUUAUUGGGUUUAAAGGGUGCGCAGGCGGAAUGUCAAGUCAGCGGUAAAAUUUCGGGGCUCAACCCCGUCGUGCCGUUGAAACUGGCGUUCUUGAGUGAGCGAGAAGUAUGCGGAAUGCGUGGUGUAGCGGUGAAAUGCAUAGAUAUCACGCAGAACUCCGAUUGCGAAGGCAGCAUACCGGCGCUCAACUGACGCUCAUGCAC